GAUCCAAUUAGCUUGAGAAAAAUGUUCACUCUUGCUUAUGUGAAGCUUGGGUAAGGUUGUGAAUAGAUAAUUGGAGCUUGAAAUUGUGAAUACUGGAACUUGGAGGAAACAGAUUAGUUGAGAUUUUGAGGGCUGUGUUCUUUUAGAAAAAUUGUCUUGGAAUAAUACUUUGAAAUCGGCUAAGAUGCAGGUCGGGAGCCAUCUCGUUAGGCGUCUGGACUCUUAAAGCGGAGGGGUAUUGGAUAGUGUUGUUGUAUAGUUUUGUUGUACAGUGAUGUAGAUAUAUGUACUUAGCUUUCUCUCCGCAUAACUUGUCCUUUUUGAUCCUCUUAGAGGUUUAUGGAGAGGCAGGAUUGUGUGUAUGUACUUUU
Molecule: non-coding RNA, 371 nt
Organism: Arachis ipaensis
Lineage: Eukaryota; Viridiplantae; Streptophyta; Magnoliopsida; Fabales; Fabaceae
Source: RefSeq, a predicted model, not a curated record